CCUACGGGUGGCAGCAGUGAGGAAUAUUGGUCAAUGGACGAGAGUCUGAACCAGCCAAGUAGCGUGAAGGAUGACUGCCCUAUGGGUUGUAAACUUCUUUUAUAUGGGAAUAAAAUGUUCCACGUGUGGGAUUUUGUAUGUACCAUAUGAAUAAGGAUCGGCUAACUCCGUGCCAGCAGCCGCGGUAAUACGGAGGAUCCGAGCGUUAUCCGGAUUUAUUGGGUUUAAAGGGAGCGUAGGUGGAUUGUUAAGUCAGUUGUGAAAGUUUGCGGCUCAACCGUAAAAUUGCAGUUGAAACUUGCAGUCUUGAGUACAGUAGAGGUGGGCGGAAUUCGUGGUGUAGCGGUGAAAUGCUUAGAUAUCACGAAGAACUCCGAUUGCGAAGGCAGUUCACUGGACUGCAACUGACACUGAGGCUCGAAAGUGUGGGUAUCAAACAGGAUUAGAUACCCGUGUAGUC
This 460-nucleotide ribosomal RNA is filed under the name uncultured bacterium. RNAcentral's name for it is "partial 16S ribosomal RNA". It matches the Rfam family "Bacterial small subunit ribosomal RNA", at positions 338 to 795 of the family's 1533-position model. The record is from RNAcentral.